AUACCUGUUCGGAGAAGGGUGUUCUCAAGAACCGCCAGAACUCGACCAGUAAUGCCAUUUUGAAUAAAAGUUCGUUUUGGUUUGAUCGCCUCACAAGACAGACGUGACUUCAAUUUGUCUAGUUACUAUACUAUAAGACGCCACAACUUGUCAACAGGAUGAAAAUGAAAACGACCCUGGUGUUGCUUCUUGUCGUUUUGGUCAUCUGUUCUGAGAUGAAUACUGCGGACUGCAGGCGCCGUGGAGGAAGCCGUAGAGGCAAGUUAGCCCGUGGGGCCCGUAGACCUAAGUUAUCCCCCGAGGCUCAGAGGAUGAGGGAGCUGUACCAACAGCGCAAGGCUGCUGAAGAAGAGAGGAAGCGCCAGGCUGAGCUUGCACGCCAGCAGCAGGAGGCAGAAUAUGCUGAAGAGUACGAAUACGAGUAAAAGGGCAGUCGGAGUGACCACGUGACUUGCAGUCAAGCUCUGUCAAUAUCCUAUUUGCAGAGACUUGCUUUUGUAGCUUUUGUAGCUGUUGCCAUUUUAUGCAAAAGCCAAUCUUUUUUUUAAAUAGUUCAAAAAGCUUUUAAAAAGGAGAAAACGACCAAUGAAUUCAAUGAAAGAAUAUUUCACAAAUUCAUCAGAAACAUGUAGUUAUCGCUGCAAAACGACCAAUGAAUUCAGUCAUUCGUUUUUAGAAAUCAAUACAGUCGGUGUAUGUCAUAAACUAUAAGAGAUACAUGUAUAACAUCUGGUUGAAUCCUUAUUGUUUAUAAAAGAAUGUGGCGUAGCUGAACGGAUGUGUGCAUGUUUUACGUUACAGACGUAUAGUAUCUUGUGAUGAAAACUGCAAAUAAAACCUUGAAUCUAA
Branchiostoma floridae (Florida lancelet) is the source of this 849-nucleotide long non-coding RNA. RefSeq lists it as uncharacterized. The record is from RefSeq and is a predicted model, not a curated record. The transcript has 4 exons. NCBI's taxonomy places the organism in Eukaryota, Metazoa, Chordata, Leptocardii, Amphioxiformes, Branchiostomatidae.